RNAcentral lists this ribosomal RNA (250 nucleotides) under uncultured bacterium. Its description in RNAcentral is "partial 16S ribosomal RNA". It matches the Rfam family "Bacterial small subunit ribosomal RNA", at positions 524 to 773 of the family's 1533-position model. The record is from RNAcentral.
GACGAACCGUGCGAACGUUGUUCGGAAUCACUGGGCUUAAAGGGCGCGUAGGCGGUCUGCCAAGUCCGGGGUGAAAUCCUCCAGCUUAACUGGAGAAGUGCCCUGGAUACUGGCGGACUCGAGCGAGGCAGGGGUAGUGGGAACUUCCGGUGGAGCGGUGAAAUGCGUUGAUAUCGGAAGGAACGCCGGUGGCGAAAGCGCACUACUGGUCCUCUUCUGACGCUGAGGCGCGAAAGCCAGGGGAGCAAAC